AGUGAACGCUGGCGGUAGGCCUAACACAUGCAAGUCGAACGGCAGCACAGUAAGAGCUUGCUCUUACGGGUGGCGAGUGGCGGACGGGUGAGGAAUACAUCGGAAUCUACUUUUUCGUGGGGGAUAACGUAGGGAAACUUACGCUAAUACCGCAUACGACCUACGGGUGAAAGCAGGGGAUCUUCGGACCUUGCGCGAUUGAAUGAGCCGAUGUCGAAUUAGCUAGUUGGCGGGGUAAAGGCCCACCAAGGCGACGAUCCGUAGCUGGUCUGAGAGGAUGAUCAGCCACACUGGAACUGAGACACGGUCCAGACUCCUACGGGAGGCAGCAGUGGGGAAUAUUGGACAAUGGGCGCAAGCCUGAUCCAGCCGUACCGCGUGGGUGAAGAAGGCCUUCGGGUUGUAAAGCCCUUUUGUUGGGAAAGAAAAGCAGCAGGUUAAUACCCCGCUGUUCUGACGGUACCCAAAGAAUAAGCACCGGCUAACUUCGUG
RNAcentral lists this ribosomal RNA (492 nucleotides) under uncultured bacterium. RNAcentral describes it as "partial 16S ribosomal RNA". It matches the Rfam family "Bacterial small subunit ribosomal RNA", at positions 29 to 507 of the family's 1533-position model. The record is from RNAcentral.